AACGAACGCUGGCGGCAUGCCUAACACAUGCAAGUCGAACGAGACCUUCGGGUCUAGUGGCGCACGGGUGCGUAACGCGUGGGAAUCUGCCCCUUGGUUCGGAAUAACUUCGGGAAACUGAAGCUAAUACCGGAUAAUGACGUAAGUCCAAAGAUUUAUCGCUAAGGGAUGAGCCCGCGUAGGAUUAGCUAGUUGGUGGGGUAAAGGCUCACCAAGGCGACGAUCCUUAGCUGGUCUGAGAGGAUGAUCAGCCACACUGGGACUGAGACACGGCCCAGACUCCUACGGGAGGCAGCAGUGGGGAAUAUUGGACAAUGGGCGAAAGCCUGAUCCAGCAAUGCCGCGUGAGUGAUGAAGGCCUUAGGGUUGUAAAGCUCUUUUACCCGGAGAUAAUGACUGUACCGGAGAAUAAGCCCCGGCUAACUCCGUGCCAGCAGCCGCGGUAAU
Molecule: ribosomal RNA, 447 nt
Filed under: uncultured bacterium
Lineage: Bacteria
Description: bacterial SSU rRNA
Rfam family: Bacterial small subunit ribosomal RNA
Source: RNAcentral